This 440-nucleotide ribosomal RNA is filed under the name uncultured bacterium. RNAcentral describes it as "partial 16S ribosomal RNA". It matches the Rfam family "Bacterial small subunit ribosomal RNA", at positions 338 to 795 of the family's 1533-position model. The record is from RNAcentral.
CCUACGGGAGGCAGCAGUGGGGGAUAUUGCACAAUGGGGGAAACCCUGAUGCAGCAACGCCGCGUGGGUGAAGAAGCGCCUCGGCGCGUAAAGCCCUGUCAGCAGGGAAGAAAAUGACGGUACCUGAAGAAGAAGCCCCGGCUAACUACGUGCCAGCAGCCGCGGUAAUACGUAGGGGGCAAGCGUUAUCCGGAUUUACUGGGUGUAAAGGGGGCGCAGACGGCGAUGCAAGCCAGGAGUGAAAGCCCGGGGCCCAACCCCGGGACUGCUCUUGGAACUGCGUGGCUAGAGUGCAGGAGGGGCAGGCGGAAUUCCUGGUGGAGCGGUGAAAUGCGUAGAUAUCAGGAGGAACACCGGUGGCGAAGGCGGCCUGCUGGACUGCAACUGACGUUGAGGCCCGAAAGCGUGGGGAGCAAACAGGAUUAGAUACCCCAGUAGUC